AAAAGAGAAGCAUGGGGCAGUGGCCAGCAGCACGGGCGAAGGCACAAGGGCAGACGGAGGUCUGGGGUUCGAACCUCACCUCGCGCACGGAAGGCUUGGAUUUUUGCUGCUCACGUGGGGGAGAGUCAGAGUUUGACCGAAACUCUCCUAGCCAUGGCUUGAGUCGGUCAAGCGGUGGACUACAGCUGAUGGUGCAAGGAAGUUGGAUAGGAUUUAAAUUGGUGGGGGCUGAAAUUUAGGAGAAAAGUAUGAAAUUUAAAUUUGGGAAGGAAUUUAUGUCGAAAUAAGACUUAUGGCAGAGUACCAAUCCGGCUAUAGGCAAU
Molecule: long non-coding RNA, 323 nt
Filed under: Gossypium barbadense (sea-island cotton)
Lineage: Eukaryota; Viridiplantae; Streptophyta; Magnoliopsida; Malvales; Malvaceae
Description: long non-coding RNA (GBAR_LNC003468)
Source: RNAcentral